AGAGUUUGAUCCUGGCUCAGAGCGAACGCUGGCGGCAGGCCUAACACAUGCAAGUCGAGCGCCCCGCAAGGGGAGCGGCAGACGGGAGAGUAACACGUGGGUAACCUGCCCUCGGCACCGGGAUAGCCCGGGGAAACCCGGAUUAAUACCGGAUGGCCCUUUCGGUCUUCGGACCGGUCGGGAAAGGUAGCUUCGGCCUCCGGCCGAGGAUGGGCCCGCGGCGGAUUAGCUUGUUGGUGAGGUAACGGCUCACCAAGGCCCCGAUCCGUAGCUGGUCUGAGAGGACGAUCAGCCACACUGGGACUGAGACACGGCCCAGACUCCUACGGGAGGCAGCAGUAGGGAAUCUUGCGCAAUGGGCGAAAGCCUGACGCAGCGACGCCGCGUGCGGGAAGACGGCCUUCGGGUUGUAAACCGCUUUCAGGAGGGACGAAGCCACUCGGGUGAAUAGCCCAGAGGGUGACGGUACCUCCAGAAGAAGCCCCGGCUAACUACGUGCCAGCAGCCGCGGUAAUAC
Molecule: ribosomal RNA, 517 nt
Filed under: uncultured bacterium
Lineage: Bacteria
Description: bacterial SSU rRNA
Rfam family: Bacterial small subunit ribosomal RNA
Source: RNAcentral